AUUGAACGCUGGCGGCGUGCUUAACACAUGCAAGUCGAUCGGUAACAGGUGUAGCAAUACAUGCUGACGAGAGGCGGACGGGUGAGUAAUGCUUGGGAAUCUGCCUAUUAGUGGGGGACAACCCGGGGAAACUCGGGCUAAUACCGCAUACGCUCUACGGAGGAAAGCCGGGGACCGCAAGGCCUGGCGCUAAUAGAUGAGCCCAAGUCGGAUUAGCUAGUUGGAGGGUAACGGCCUACCAAGGCGACAAUCCGUAGCUGGUCUGAGAGGACGACCAGCCACACCGGAACUGAGACACGGUCCGGACUCCUACGGGAGGCAGCAGGUGGGGAAUAUUGGACAAGUGGGGGCAACCCUGAUCCAGCGACGCCGCGUGGGUGAAGAAGGCCUGCGGGUUGUAAA
RNAcentral lists this ribosomal RNA (402 nucleotides) under uncultured bacterium. RNAcentral's name for it is "bacterial SSU rRNA". It matches the Rfam family "Bacterial small subunit ribosomal RNA", at positions 29 to 429 of the family's 1533-position model. The record is from RNAcentral.